UGUAGUAAAUCUUUUCAAAACCAGCUCUUUCCCUGGAUAUUGAGUACCUUGUCCCUCUCCUUAUUUUGAGCUGUAAAAUCUUUUCACGGGCCUCCUGUUGGCUGUUUCCUAUCUGUGCAUCCUUGAGAGAGGAGAGAUCUCUCCUAGCCUCCUGUUUGCACCUAAAUAGACGGGAGGAUCCUCCUGUGUCUCCUCACUGUCCAUCUGCUUACGGGUCUAAUCUUCUCUCAGAUUUUAAGCUCAAAAGAUUUUGUUUGUUUGUUUUUACUUACGUUUGCUUUACCGGUUUAGUGAAGCCAGCAGCCUAAAAGAAACGAGGAGAAAACCAGAACCGUGGGCAAACAAGGCCAGCUCGGUGAGGUCCGGACUCAGCCAUCUGUAUCUGACGCUAUUCUCCUCCUCGUCUCCACCACGGGCCCGGGGAUCCAGGCUUCUCAUUAGGAGGCUGCUCUCGUCCAGGUAGUUCUGCUUUAUGAGGCGGAGGCCCGCCGUCUGGAGGCGAGCCUUACCCCACGCUAUUGGUGGAGCCAUACUGGAAGGAAGCCCUGGACGCUAAUGGGGACUGCCUUGGAUGGCUCCUUAAUUCCCAGCAGCAGAAGUGACUCUGAGGGCAGUGCGUUCUCUGUCUGCCCCCAGCCUACCGUCACGCCUCCAAAUUAAGGAAUAUCCCUCGAGUUCUGUAGGAUUUGCUCUCCUUAAUUCCCAGGUUGGCACCAUCUUCCCAGAAGGGGACACCGAGCCAGCCUUCAGUGUUCCCUCAAUCUGGCUCCGGUUGCUCUCUAUCCAGCAGAGAUGCUUUGCAAGUUCUCCCGAGUGAUGGGCUGUCUUCCCUAGUUUUCAGGAACAACGAGCCACAUUGCCUCCCUUUGUUUUGUAUCAUUUGGGCCAUCUUUACCAAAAUGCCAUUCAUUUCAUUUUUUUCUCCCCCAGCCCCAGGUACAUCAAGGGAUUUGCACUCACCUGGCCCCAACUCCUUUCGGCUGGAAAUCACUUCUCCCUCCUCCCGAGAGCACUUUACCUUUAUUUCUCUCUUUUUAUGGGCGCUUCUCUCGACAACUGGAUUGCAAGUUCUUUGAGGGCUUCUAGAGGCCUCCAAGGCCAGGAAAAGGGGAAAAAACCUACCGUGCUUAAUUUGAAGAAUCGAAUAACCCAUCAACGUUUUCCAAACCACAACCAUGCGGCAGAGGAAAAAAUCACAGAGCCACCGUGCAAUUGAUGCGGGCCAAAAAAACCCUAGAAACUAGAAAAAGCUCUUGAUAAAAACAAAACCUGUGAAGACACGACAAAGGAGCUGAAAUUGAUGGCAAUUUCCUAAGGCAAUUUUUGCUUUUCAAACAUAUUCAAGUUUCCUGAGGGCAGAGAUCGCUCCUCGUGAACGAAAUCGUUUUCUCUUUCAGACGUCAGUGCAUAGGAAGUGGUUUUGUGUGGAAAGGAAAGCGAUUGAAUUUAGAUAAAUGCCAGUCCCAGAGCAGAUGUUCGCUACUUGGACAAAGAAAUAAAGCACAGGGAGAAAAAGUCA
RNAcentral lists this long non-coding RNA (1519 nucleotides) under Felis catus (domestic cat). Its description in RNAcentral is "lncRNA (ENSFCAG00000048729.1)". Lineage: Eukaryota; Metazoa; Chordata; Mammalia; Carnivora; Felidae. The record is from RNAcentral.